CUAUGAUUCUAUGAUGCCAAGCAAAUGUGGUGCUACAAAAGUGCUGCAAGCAAAUUGCUUUUAAAAGCACAAAAGCGUAUAAUUUCUCCAAGUGGUGGUUCUAAUAGCAAUGACAGACAGCUCUGCCAUAGCCCAUGGCAGUGGAUAUUCAGCGUGGCAACAACAUACUUUCUGGUUCUUUGAAUUAUGCUGCACAUGGUGGCCCUGGAGCUACGUGUGGAAUGGCUGUGGUGUGAGCUGAUGGGCUAUUUUGUGCCUCGGAUGCAGAGUUUUUAUGAUGGCCGAUACUCUGAAGCUCGUUCAGGCAAUAAAUUUACUUGCCUUUGAGUUUACAAGGCAAUAAACAGUUGAGGCCUUUGACCUCAACAUUUACCAAAUACAUUUGCAGCAGUUGUGUUUAUUGACGACUAUUUAUAGGGAAGUAUUUUAUACCAAAUUUCACGUGUGAAACAGAACAGCUUAACUUUGCAGUGCUUAAUUCUUUCUGAUUCCUGCCUCUGCUUCCUCUCUUUGAUUUACUUCACUGGGAGAAGUUGCAGAUUGAUGCUGCAAAAGGUUCUGUUACGGACUGCAACAAAUAAUCUAACCCCCACUUUUUAGAACCUCGUCCAUCUUUAUGUGGCUGAGAUAAAGCUGCAUCUGUGUUACAUUUUGCAAGGCUAUUUGUAUAAGAUACAAAUGCAUUUGGGUUACGAAUCCCACUCACUGCGUGUCACAGAGGCAGUCAGUUGCCACGAUGGGUUGCCCAUAGCCAUGAGUUUGCUCUGAUUUCCAUCAUGGGUUAAAUGAAAGACUGACAGGCCUGGAGUUUACUGGAAAGGCAACAGCACUUUCAUCCCUUCCUGCAACUGUAGGCUGAGCUCAUACGAGGUGCACCUGAGUAACUGUUCCCCAAGCAACCCUGCUUUUGGAGCUGCCACUUUUUAAAUUGCAUUGGCCCCAGUCCAGCAAAAUACUUGAGUUAAUGUUUAAUUUCAGGCAUGAAGCAUGGGACUUCAGUGUGACUGCUCGUAAGCUUAAAGAUAAGCACAUGCUCAAGUUCCUUGCUGGAAAAUGGCCAGCAUGCUUUUUAUCUUGCAGGAUUGAGCCUGUAAGGUACUCAUUGCAAUCUGCUGAGAUCUUCUUGCUUGACUUCUUGCAGAAAAAUGGUUUCAGAUGCUGGGGAGUUAUGGUCAUUCACCUGUGAAUGGCUGACCAGAUUCUUGCCCCAUGCAAGUUGCUUCAUGCUACUUUUCAGCAAGAUAGGCUGAAGAGUUUGCAUCAGGAAAUCUGUAGUCUUUUUGCAACUGGACUUUUUUCUUCUAGAGGUAGUUAUACUAACAUAUCACAGAAUCACAGGGAUUCUGCUGGAAGGGACAUCAAGAGAUCACUGAGUCCAACCUCCUGCAAAGCAGGUCCCUACAGUAUGUUGCACAGGUUGGUGUCCAGCUGGCUCCUGAAUGUUUCCAUAGGAGACUUCACCACCUCUCUGGGCUGUUCCAGAGCUUCAUCUCCCUGACCAUAGAGAAGUUCUUCUGCAUAUUAGUAUGGAACUUCCUUUGUUCAGUAUUGGGUCACUGUGAGGUCACGGCUUGAACUGCUGAUGGAGCACCUGGUGCGGGAGUGCAGCUGGCCCAGGGUGCAGAGGCACCUUGUUUGCACCUGUGCUCCCUAGGGGACCAGAGGGGCUGGACCCAGAGUAGAGCCCCUGCUGGGCUCAUAUAAGGGCCAGCCACGGGAGGAGAUCUCUUGGACUUGGGCUGCUUCUUGGGAAGGAGAGCUGCAUAGCUGGAGAUCCCCUUCACCAGUAGGGUUAGCUGGCCACCAUCAGCAACUUACUCUCACAGUGGUUAAGUCAACAGUGACUGAGACAACAGAGCCCAGAUAUUGACAGAGGCUUGAAACCAGUUGUCUCAACCUGAUGAUAACUAGGAGCCCGAACAGCCACAUUUCUGCUCACUUAGAAGUUUGGAAGCAUUCGGACGUGUAUUUCCAUGUGACCUCUGACCACCUAACAGAUUGCUUUGAGGGCUAAGGAAGUCAGAGGACCGUCGCCAUGUGGAAGACCCCUGCCUAACUGACAUCCAGAACUCGGAGUGGCUCCAGUAGAAGAUAUUACAGCCUUGACCUGCCUCUACCAGGCCUUGCCUUGUGUCAUGGCUUUGAGAGGUUGUGCACAACUGACAGUGUCCACACCUGAGUGAAGCUUUCUUUAAAUGCCUUCAAGUUUUGGAAUACCAAGAGUGCCUUAAGACAGAAUGGUUGUUGCCUGGUGCUUCUGAAGGAAUUAACAUCUGAUUGAACUCCGUGCAUGCAGAGAAGACAGUGCUCCCAUCAAAUAUUGGUGUUGCAUCUCAGCACACAGCCACAUCUCAGACAUAUGGAGCAGCCUCUUUGGGCAGGAGGGACCAGGGAGCAGACCUCAGUGAUGGCUGCCUCUCCCACAGGCAGGACGGGGUGCUCUUGCUUCUACAGCAAUGCAUGGAAGAUUUUGUUUGUUUAAUUCUCCUGCGAGGCUGUUAUAUGAAUUUUUCCUUGUUCCUUCAUUUGGCUCUUGAUGAGGUGAGAGCUGCAGCGAUGGCAUCUAGAGACUCUUGUUUGCAAUAACAUCACUCUACAGUGCAGUCUGGUGAGGAGGACCAUAAGGCUCUACGUGGCCAUAUGCACUGACACACCAACACCACGAUGUCGAAAUACAAACGGGAAAGACUUCACAUCUGCCUGUUCUCCCGAGUAAAGGACCUACCAGAAACCUCCCUUGGAAAAGCUGAGGAGACACUAAUUAAAAGAAUACUGUAUGUCCCUGAUGAGGGACUGCUGACAAAGAAGAGCUAACUCCACGAGUCAUUGGAGCAGCUCCUUACAAAGAUGCAAGAUGUAGCAGAUCUAGUCUGGAAAUCACCUUCAUUGCUGAAAGACCACCACUGCCCUCCAAGAGACACAACGGAGGGCACAAAGAAGAACAAUGCUACUUUUUUUUCUGGAUGAGGAGGUGAGCUCGAGCCUCUCCCUGGAAGAGAGGGCUGGCAGCGGCGCUGAGCUGGGAUGUGGAGGCUGCACAGGGGCCCAUUGGCUGAAGCACGCAUUAUUCCAGACCUGAUGUCAUUCAUCUAUCUGAGUUUGCCCCCAUGCAAGUCAAGACUUCUCCUUGAGGGCACCCGAACCAGAAUCACGUUCCCAAUCUGUGCAGAAGCCAUGCUGUCUGCCUCUGGGAGGCAGCAAGUGGAAGGUAAGGGCUCAAGCAGCUCUCACACAGGACACCACAAGUCCCCUGCUGUCCUUGUAGGUCUUGGUGGCCUCAAGGGAGCUCAACCCCUUUCAUGUUCCCCAAAGAAGGAGUUCAGCUUACCCAAACCAUCCUGCAUGCAGUGAAGAACUCAGCCCUCCUCUAGGAUGAUCCCUGGCUAUGGGACAGUUGGACCCUCUGCACAGUAAUAAUUAGCAGACAAAUCCUGCUGACUCAGGAAACUCAUCUAAGGGUUUGUUUGUGUGUUUGUUGUUUUUAUGAGAAGGCCCAUAUGCCUUUCAGAUUUUGUUAUUUUCAGAGUUGAUGAUCUGAGGAACAGAAUGAAGAGCUGACAUUGUUGGUUGUUUUCUUGGCCUGUUUUAUACAGCAGAUGUAUGCUGGUAGAAGGGCUACAGCUCAUUACUUUAUUUAUUCUGGUGGAGUUUUGUUGCAAAGACAAUAGGUCAGAUCAUGACACAGGAAGAAAAAAGAUAGCUUUGGAACUGGUGGGUACUGUUCAUCUACCAGUGCUCCCUUCACACACUGGUCAGAAUCCAAGAGGUAAUAUGGGAAUUUCUGAAUGUACUUAAAGUUUAUGAGACUGCCUGCCUGAAUGCAUGCACGUGUGUGGAGUGGAACAAGGAUCCCCAGCAUAAUACUUAAUCAAAAUCCAGUUUUACCAGUGAUAUAAGACAGAUAAAGCACUAAGUACAGUCCUCAGGAUCUGCCCCUUCAGCUUAUGCACUGUACAUGGCAUACACAGUACCUGCCAAUACACGUGGUGUGGGAUUUACCCUGAAACCCUGAUGGUGUCCUGGAUUUUCCAAGCCAGAGCCUUGUUUUAAAUCUUGCCUGGUGAUGUAUGUAUUUGAUGGUCUCAGGAGCAGAUCUAGCUCAAUGCUGGUUUCUUUCUAGGGUAUGAAAAUUCUCUCUACCAUACAGUGCCUUUUGAAUCUGAUUCUUACUCGGAAAUGUGUGCUCGCUCACAGUGUUUAAGAAAUGGGCAAUGGAGUUUGAGCCACAACUUUAUCAGCAGAGAGCACAGGUAUCUAAGUGUCUGCUGAAUCGUGCGCCUUCUUUCAGCACUCUCUUCCUGCUGAAUAGCCCACAUCUAGUGUUGUUUUUAUCAGGUUUUUGAGAUUAGGACUCUCCCUUUUGCUAGCUGAGAUCCCCAUAAAUGAGAACAAGCAACCUCAUUUUCUAACUCUGUUCCUAAACUGAUCAGGGUGUAGCCUCAGAGUUCUGGUGCUUCUCUUGGGGUGCUGUUUGUGAACUCCUCUACCAUGGUCCACGGAAAUCCUUAUUCCCUCCUUCCUCCCAGCCACAGUGCCAUCGCUGAGCUUUCGUUCCCUCCCCCUUCCACUGUCACCAUAUUGAUCCUCGAGGUGACCCCUCCAAGUCGUUGAUCCUCCUGACUCCCCAAGCCAGCCUGCUGAGUUGGUCUUUGCCCAGUUGUUUCUUCUGUUCCCUGUGCACCUUUUCACCAGUUUUCCACUCGUAUCCCAGUUUGCAUUGAUGUCAAAUACGAAUGGGCAGGGAAGGCUUGAGGAGGAAGCAAUCACUAGUGCCCUACACAGUGGUAAUGACAUCUGAUGAACUUACUUCUGUCUGCGUCCUGACAAGUAGGAUGUUCCCCUUUUCCUGGUGUUGAUGAUGUCUUUUAACUCUGCACCUCAGCAAAUAUGGUUGGAAAUGCUCCGACGGUUUUCAGCAACGCUGGCAGAGGCAGUGUUAAAUGCAGUCAUUCCAUGGCUGAUGUUGAGAAUUCCUCCAGUAAACUCCCUUCAGCUCAGUUCUUCUGUCAGUACAACUUGCUAUCAUCUCCAUUUUAGCCAAUUUAUUAUCCCCCUUACAACUCUUGUCUUAUCUUCUCCAGUUUAACUAGUAAUUUUGUGUGCCAACAUAUCAAUGAUAUUAAAUGAUAUCUGGGUAGAGUAGCCUGGCACAAAUGCCUGUCAUUGCCAAUCCCAGAUCUGAAGUUUGUCCCUGAUGUCACAUUAUUCCACAGCUUUCUUUAUCCUUCACCCAGUAUUUCAUCUGAAGUCUUGCAUAAUAUUGACACUGGUGAUAUGACCCUGAGAUCAAGUCCAAUCAAGCUGAACUCAGUGAGUCCCUUCCAACCUGGGAUAUUCUAUGAUUCUACAAUUUUCUCCUUAAAUAAAGGCACCCACCAAAUCCUUUUUUCUCUAACGCAUCCGUUUCAGUAUAAUAGAUCCUAUUAUCAAAUUUGCAAUUCCACAUGUUCCUACUUGCACUGUUCACAGCUGGAUCGACAUUACUUCCUCCCAGCUCAACCACGUUCAACAUUUCACUUUGUUUCGGUCAGCUUCUGUAUUUCUUCUUGAAGUGCCACACAGUCUGCAAUGUACCAAAUGCAGCUACAAAGAUGGAUCUUUACCUUUAUACGCUCAGUUUUUCACUUCUUUCCUGACUACAAACACGAUGGGGUUUUCUGCAGCCAGGUGGAACUCUCCGCUGUGUCCACAUUGGCAAAGAGAGCAGCUGAAUCCAGGGCAACCCUACUGACAUGAAGAUGAGCCUGUAUAUAUGGUACAUACAGGCUACGCACUAUUUUCUUCUUCUCUUGGGGAUGCUUUUGCAAGAUGAGGGGAAGGUUUGUUCUUCAGCUGCAGCCUUCUUUGUUGGCAUUUUUUACGCCCUUGUUGCAGAGAAGUAAGACACCAGAACUUCUAAAACGAAAGGGCUCAGAGAUUAUUGGAGCAAUGCUUGGUCCCCAGACCUCCUUCUCUGAAACAGGUGAGUCAUUCUGGCUGAUACUAAAAAGAAAACAAUAAAAAAACCCUCUUUCCCACACACAAAGCAGCCCUGAGGCACACGAUUAGCAGGAGGUAUUUCACUCGCAUGGCUGGAGUAGGGCAGCAUGUUAAGCAACCGAAGCCAUAUUCUUACAAUAGGAAGCAUUUAAUCAUCUUUGUAACAGAUAGUAGCGCUGUCUGUACUUUGAGCAGAGCUUUUGUUAUGCUAAAUGUUAUUCACUGGCUUUAUUCUGAGAAUAUGUGUAAGUGUUGGCAGGACCAGUGACCCAUGUAACUGUAAUGCAAUGGGUUGCUAUAAAACAAAUGAGAGCAAUGUAAGGUUUGGUUCAGGCAGUCUCACUGAAGGUAACACUGGUGAAUCUGGUAGCUGGAGCUGCGGGUCCUGUGUGGGACAAACUCCCCAUCUGUCAUCUUCCAAUCUUCCAUUAGGAAAUUUGCUGUAGAAAAAUAAUCUUUAAAACAUCUGGGUUUUUCCCAAUUUUUUCCAUUUUUUAAG
Molecule: non-coding RNA, 6478 nt
Organism: Meleagris gallopavo (turkey)
Lineage: Eukaryota; Metazoa; Chordata; Aves; Galliformes; Phasianidae
Source: RefSeq, a predicted model, not a curated record